Molecule: ribosomal RNA, 469 nt
Filed under: uncultured bacterium
Lineage: Bacteria
Description: partial 16S ribosomal RNA
Rfam family: Bacterial small subunit ribosomal RNA
Source: RNAcentral
GACGAACGCUGGCGGCGUGCUUAACACAUGCAAGUCGAACGAUGAAGCCUUAGCUUGCUUUGGUGGAUUAGUGGCGAACGGGUGAGAAAAACGUGAGCAACGUCCCCAGAACUUUGAAUUAACGCCGGGAAACCGUGGCUAUUACCGGAUAGGUGCCGAGGCGCCAUGUUCUUCGGUUGGAAAGUUUUUGCGUUUCUGGAUCGGCCCACGGCUUAUCAGCUUGUUGGUGGGGUAAUGGCCUACCAAGGCGACGACGGGUGGCCGGCCUGAGAGGGUGACCGGCCACACUGGGACUGAGACACGGCCCAGACUCCUACGGGAGGCAGCAGUGGGGAAUAUUGCACAAUGGGCGCAAGCCUGAUGCAGCAACGCCGCGUGGGGGAUGACGGCCUUCGGGUUGUAAACCUCUUUUAGUAGGGAAGAAGCGCAAGUGACGGUACCUGCAGAAAAAGCACCGGCCAACUACGUG